GACGAACGCUGGCGGCGUGCUUAACACAUGCAAGUCGAACGGAAAGGCCUGCUUUCCCUUGUGGAUUGCGGGUACUCGAGUGGCGAACGGGUGAGUAACACGUGAGUGAUCUGCCCCCAACUUGGGUAUAGGCCUGGGAAACUGGGUCUAAUUCCCGAUAGGACUGCAGGGUGGUGCCUGUGGUGGAAAACGAUUUUCUAGUGGUUGGGGAUGAGCUCGCGGCCUAUCAGCUUGUUGGUGGGGUAAUGGCCUACCAAGGCGGCGACGGGUAGCCGGCCUGAGAGGGUGGACGGCCACAUUGGGACUGAGAUACGGCCCAGACUCCUACGGGAGGCAGCAGUGGGGAAUAUUGCACAAUGGGCGGAAGCCUGAUGCAGCGACGCCGCGUGGGGGAUGACGGCCUUCGGGUUGUAAACUCCUUUCGACCGCGAGGAAGCCACCUGGUUGGAAGGGUGGUGACGGUAGUGGUAGAAGAAGCACCGGCUAACUACGUG
Molecule: ribosomal RNA, 494 nt
Filed under: uncultured bacterium
Lineage: Bacteria
Description: partial 16S ribosomal RNA
Rfam family: Bacterial small subunit ribosomal RNA
Source: RNAcentral